RNAcentral lists this ribosomal RNA (535 nucleotides) under Colletotrichum fructicola. RNAcentral describes it as "eukaryotic LSU rRNA". The stretch from base 162 to 315 matches the Rfam family "5.8S ribosomal RNA". Lineage: Eukaryota; Fungi; Ascomycota; Sordariomycetes; Glomerellales; Glomerellaceae. The record is from RNAcentral.
GCUUCUAUACCCUUUGUGACAUACCUAUAACUGUUGCUUCGGCGGGUAGGGUCUCCGCGACCCUCCCGGCCUCCCGCCUCCGGGCGGGUCGGCGCCCGCCGGAGGAUAACCAAACUCUGAUUUAACGACGUUUCUUCUGAGUGGUACAAGCAAAUAAUCAAAACUUUUAACAACGGAUCUCUUGGUUCUGGCAUCGAUGAAGAACGCAGCGAAAUGCGAUAAGUAAUGUGAAUUGCAGAAUUCAGUGAAUCAUCGAAUCUUUGAACGCACAUUGCGCCCGCCAGCAUUCUGGCGGGCAUGCCUGUUCGAGCGUCAUUUCAACCCUCAAGCUCUGCUUGGUGUUGGGGCCCUACAGCUGAUGUAGGCCCUCAAAGGUAGUGGCGGACCCUCCCGGAGCCUCCUUUGCGUAGUAACUUUACGUCUCGCACUGGGAUCCGGAGGGACUCUUGCCGUAAAACCCCCCAAUUUUCCAAAGGUUGACCUCGGAUCAGGUAGGAAUACCCGCUGAACUUAAGCAUAUCAAUAAGCGGAGGAA